This 429-nucleotide ribosomal RNA is filed under the name Gemmatimonadota bacterium. RNAcentral's name for it is "Gemmatimonadetes bacterium partial 16S ribosomal RNA". It matches the Rfam family "Bacterial small subunit ribosomal RNA", at positions 355 to 776 of the family's 1533-position model. The record is from RNAcentral. Lineage: Bacteria; Pseudomonadati; Gemmatimonadota.
UAGGGAAUCUUCGGCAAUGGACGAAAGUCUGACCGAGCAACGCCGCGUGAGUGAAGAAGGUUUGCGGAUCGUAAAACUCUGUUGUUAGAGAAGAACAAGGACGUUAGUAACUGAACGUCCCCUGACGGUAUCUAACCAGAAAGCCACGGCUAACUACGUGCCAGCAGCCGCGGUAAUACGUAGGUGGCAAGCGUUGUUCGGAUUUAUUGGGCGUAAAGCGAGCGCAGGCGGUUUCUUAAGUCUGAUGUGAAAGCCCCCGGCUCAACCGGGGAGGGUCAUUGGAAACUGGGUGAAUUGAGUGCAGAAGAGGAGAGAGGAAUUCCAUGUGUAGCGGUGAAAUGCGUAGAUAUAUGGAGGAACACCAGUAGCGAAGGCGGCUCUCUGGUCUGUAACUGACGCUGAGGCUCGAAAGCGUGGGGAGCAAACAGG